GUCGACUAAAAAUUUCAUUGAUAAACUUGAGGUGUAAACAUGGUAGAAUACAAACACCCAAAAGACGGAGACGACAGCCGGCGGACGACAAGGAUAUCCCCGGAAAAAAAGUCGGAGGAAAACUAGAUUUCCCCGGGAGCGAAACUAACAACUUGAGAUACAACACAAACUUAAAACUGAAAUCGAAAGAGAUUAAACCCUAACACUCAACAAAACCAAACUGACUUAGGACCGAAAAUGAACUAGAACCAAAGAACGCAAAAACGACCUCUUCUCGGCAACAAACCAGCGAAUGAGACUUAUCAAGGCUGCCUACGGCCAACCCGAGCUGAUAACAUCUACCUCUUCCUAUCAAUAUGAGAGGCAAUCUCUCCAAACCGGUAACCAAGACUUCAUAACCCGACAAGCAAAAACCAUAAUUGGAGAACAAGAACGCUUUGCUUUCGGAUACGGCGAGGGCAACAACAGCGCCAGAACAAGAACGAUUUGCAAA
RNAcentral lists this long non-coding RNA (493 nucleotides) under Capsella grandiflora. RNAcentral describes it as "long non-coding RNA (CGRA_LNC000007)". Lineage: Eukaryota; Viridiplantae; Streptophyta; Magnoliopsida; Brassicales; Brassicaceae. The record is from RNAcentral.